Molecule: long non-coding RNA, 676 nt
Organism: Megalobrama amblycephala (Wuchang bream)
Lineage: Eukaryota; Metazoa; Chordata; Actinopteri; Cypriniformes; Xenocyprididae
Exons: 3
Source: RefSeq, a predicted model, not a curated record
AAAUACAUUUUCUUAUUCAUUUCACUUGUUUUUGUAGUGAAAAAAAGAACAAAAUGUAGAUGCAGUAAAUUAAGGUGUAAAUGCAGUGUUUGUAUAGUAAAUCAGAGUAAUGAAAGGAGGUGAAAUGAUGUUUAAAUGGGUUAUAUGUAAGAAUUGUCAUGUAUGAAUUGCUUUUUUUAUUGGCAAUGUGUAAACAGCUUGUAACGAAACUAAAAAAUCGAGACCGUCCCCGACUUUCUAGGUUGUCUAAUGAAGCCAGAGCCCUGAUUUUUAUGUGAAGGACUCGGAAUCGGGACGGUUUUGCCGGGAAAAUCAAAAGGAUGUGACGUUUACGAGCUUCCGUGGGCCUCUCUUCCAUUCAGGAAUGCUUAUAUUUUCAGGAUAAUGCCGAAAGAGCCAUUCUGUACAGUAAUCAGCCCACUUCCUGAAUGACAUUAUCCUCCAGGAAGUGACAUCACUCUGGAAGGAAAACUGCAGAAUGAUCAAUCUUCUGAAGGUCUCUCCUCGAACCCUCAGAUAUGAUCGACUCAGAGUUCAGAUGAAGAAUAGUUUCAUGUCAUCUGGAUUGUACGGUUGUGAAUCUCCGGGACACGAGAGCCGUCAGAGUUGAACACAAGCCUCGCAUUUGCAAAAUGGCCCCACAAAGUCGAGCGAAGCAAAAUCUAUUGUGGCGUGG